CCGGAUCGCCCCCCGCCCGAGCGGGCCUCGGGGACCGGCCAGGCCCUUAGGACCGGCCCGCCCUUCCCCUCCCUGAACCCUUGACCCCCAGGAGCUCGCCCGCCGUCUCCGGGAAAGGCCAACAGAGGCCCUCGCCCUGGGCGCCACGCUCCCCCCUCCCCACCCCCAGUUGCAUAAAAAGCCCCUUUGUGUAAUUUUGCGGUAACCGAGGGGUGGGGGGAAACUCUGUCCGGCCAUCGGUGGCCGCCCGCCGAGGCGACGGCGACACCCCGUUGAAGGAUGGGCCCCGGAUCUCGGGAGCCGACGGCGGGGCCCGGCGGCCCCGGCCUCGUCCCUCCGGGGAGAGGAGAGACGGGAGAGGACCGGCCCGCCCGAAGAGGCCCACCGAGGAGGCCCGGGGCGGGGGGAGAGAGACGAUCCCCGGCCGGCCGGCGCAGGCCCACGUGGGACCGGACGGCGCGUCGGGCCUCGGCUCUCGGAGGGCGACGGCCCGGCGCCCCCCUCUGCGCCGUCGACCCGACGGCGGGAGGAGUGGACGUCGAGAGGGAGAGGGAAGAUUCCCCGAGGUCCCUUCUUUUGUUGCGGAGCGUGCUGGCGGAGGGAGAGCCGGUCGUUCCGCGGCUUCGGGUGUCGUCGGAGAUGCGUCCUGCUGCCCUGUGUGGCCUCUGGCCGAAGGCGGAUGUCGGGAGGAGUUAGAUCGCCUUCCGGACAGCCCUCCGUCGUCGGGUGACGCGCCGCCCGCCCUUCUUCACGAGAGGGCCGACCGAACUUGGUACGCGGCCGGGAGGAGCGUUCGCCCCGGGGCGACGCUGGACGGAUCUCAGAUGGGGACGUGAAAGAGAGACCGGCGGAUCGCCGCGGCGGGGCGUGACCCCUGCCGGCCGAGGGGCCGUCGGCGGUUGGGGGAUUCUUGGGAUUUCCUCCGUUAGCCGCCUCGUGCGGGGCUCCGGAGGUGAGCCUCCCGAGGCGCGCUCUCCUAGAAGACGGGAGUCGGAGAUCGCCCGUUGACCUUCGGUAGCUUCGGUUCUCUUGGGGGGUGGAGGGGGUCGGAGGGGGUGACCCGACCCGGUGACCCGACGGGCCCCUCUCCCCUUCUCUAGAAGCCCUGACGCGGACCUUGCUCUUAACCUAGUGCUGCUGUUUGAGGGCGGCAAAAGCGUGGCUCUGGGCUCUGUCCCCCCCCCCCCCCCCCCCCCGCUCGUUCCUUUGCGGACGAUGGUCCCGGCCACCUCGGAGGGAACGGGGAGAGCCUCGGGAUCGGGGUCUGGCCACCGCUGAAGUGGUGAGUCGAGGAUGGAACGGGGUCCUUAGAGGAGGGACGGAGACUUGCGUCCAGCGAGGGAAACCGAGUGUGAUUUCAGUUAAACUGCGAUGCGGGAGACAUCCUGGUCCGGUCCGGGGCAGUCGGGCUUUCCCCAGCGUGGCUGGGGAGGGGAAGACAGUGUGGUCCGUUGGAUUUGAGACGGAGGGGAUCCUAGUCUUGGUUAAGAUUGUCAGCUGGAUUUUUUUCCUCUCACUUUUCCGAUUCGCGUCUCGUUAAAUAAAUCUAUUUACGUUGGUGUCCGUGGUCAGGGUUGAGCCGAUCGUGAGAUUGAUUUGUCAUUGAGCCUUUAAAGUAUUUCGGGGCCAUGUUUCCGUUUGGGUUGCUAUUGUUUUUGUGCCGGUUUCCCUCCCUGUUUUCACGAAGCAUGUUUCUUUGUUUUUUAUUUGUACUCCCGCGGUUUAAGGUCAAAUAAUAAAAUAUGCAAAUGGGAUUGAGUGUCCUGUGGUUUGUUUUCUUUUUGUUGUUUUCUUGUUUUGUUAAGGGAGUUGUCGAACAAUAGCGGUCUAGUGUUUUCUUUCAUGUAGAUAAUAUGUUGAUAUCUGCCGGUUCACAGAGCAGUCUGAGCAUUAAGCUCAGAACUGGAGUGAGGUUGAGCAGGCAGGAGGUCGUUUUUGAGGAGCUUGGCAGAUUUUCUUCUCUCUCUCUCUCUCUCUCUCUCUCUCUCUCUCUCUCGCUCGCUCGUUCGCUCGCUCUCCCCCCCCCCCCCCCGUCUCUCUCUCUCUCUCGCUCUCCCUCUCUCUCCCCCCACCCCCGUCUUCUCCCUCUCUCUCUCCCUCUCUCUCUCUCGUUUCAUUUAAACAGACUAGAUCAGGGUGUGCUCACAAACAUACUCAGUGGAUAUGGCAACUACCCUAGAAAAUCGGGAGAAUAGCAGGUAAAGAGCGAAAUUACUUUCCCUAGAACAUCAGAGUUUGAUAGAGCAAAACUUGGGGGAUUUUAGAUUCCUGAAGAUGUUGGGUCUGUCUCUGGUGGAGGGUGAUUAUCGUGGACUCCCACAGACUUGGUAUUGCCCUAAGCAGGCUCGAAAUCGCCUGUAUAAUCCAAGGGCGUGGAUGAUAUUGAAUGAACUGGUUACCGGUUACUUUGAUAGUAAUUCGCCGAGACAGAAAGGAGAAGGGGGCUUGAGUACCUACUGAGGUUGGUUAUUCUCUACCCUGGAGGACGUAUUGGCUGCUCGUGCGGUUGGAAAUUUGGCUUGUAGGUCAUCUACUGGCCUCCCCAGAAAGAAACACCAGCACUUCUUUCAUCUUUUUCUUUCUACGUUCUUUUGGCUUGUUCAUCUGGAUCUGCGUUACCUUUGGAAUUCCUGGAGGGGGAAAACCUACAGUGUCUCUUUCUGGUGAUUCCAGACUCUUGUCGGCUCUCUUGAUUACAGUUAAGAGAUUUAAAAAAAAAAAAAAAACAGACCAAAAAACGACGCUUACGUCUCUGAACCCAUUCUUCCGCUAUUUAGCACGGAUUCCACGACCUGUUUGCGGCCCCUGAAGCCGGACUGAAGUUUCAGUUACCGGCGGUUUACGUCGUCAAUUUGAUCGACGGAUGUCCGCUCUCGCUAGCCAGCCUUCGUUGGAAUGCCGUUUAGAGUAACCCUUUGAUUUUAAGGCUUCGUUUGCUCAGCUGGAGGAGGAAAAUAAAAUGAUCCGUCGGACAGUGCGGUCUCAGGUUCAGUCCGGGGCAGAUGUUCAUUGAAGUUUCGAGAUGUUGGAAUAUCGAACAGAUCUACCUGGGCCUUGGGAGCUCAACACUUGCGCAGCCGGGCCCUCCUCCUACGACACAGGGAAAUGGUUCGAACCGAGCCGUUUGUCGGUAAAAGAUCGGCUCCGUAGGUCUCUAGUAGAACUUGGAGCCUCCUUUCAGCCCUCACUGCUUCCGGCCUCUCCCGUUCUUCUUUCACUUACAAAGCUGCGUUUAGUCGAGCAGCAGCGUGGCCUGGUGGAUAGAGCGUCGACCUGGGAGCCGGAGGACCUGGCUUCUAAUCCCUGCCUCCACCGCUGACCUGUUGUGUGACCUUGGGCGAGUCACCUGCCUUCUCUCUGCCUCGGUUCCCUCCGCCGCAAGAUGGGGAUCCCGUAACUGACCUCCCUGCUACGAAGACCGUGAGCCCAUGUGGCACAGCGAGGGUGUCCGACCUGAUAAACUUGUCUCU
This 3470-nucleotide long non-coding RNA is filed under the name Ornithorhynchus anatinus (platypus). RNAcentral's name for it is "lncRNA (ENSOANG00000050034.1)". Lineage: Eukaryota; Metazoa; Chordata; Mammalia; Monotremata; Ornithorhynchidae. The record is from RNAcentral.